GGCAGCGUAGCUUAAAAUAAAGCACUCGACUUGCAUUCGAAAGAUGGGCGUGUAAGUUCCGCUGCUA
Molecule: transfer RNA, 67 nt
Filed under: Laternula truncata
Lineage: Eukaryota; Metazoa; Mollusca; Bivalvia; Laternulidae
Description: tRNA-Ala
Rfam family: tRNA
About the family: Transfer RNA (tRNA) molecules are approximately 80 nucleotides in length.
Source: RNAcentral